CCUACGGGUGGCAGCAGUGAGGAAUAUUGGUCAAUGGGCGGGAGCCUGAACCAGCCAAGUCGCGUGAGGGAAGACGAUCCUAUGGAUUGUAAACCUCUUUAGGCGGGGAGCAAUGCCGGGCACGCGUGCCCGGAGGGAGAGUACCCGCAGAAUAAGCAUCGGCUAACUCCGUGCCAGCAGCCGCGGUAAUACGGAGGAUGCGAGCUUUAUCCGGAUUUGUUGGGGUAAAAGGGUGCGUAGGCGGAUUUGUAAGUCAGCGGUAAAAUGUCCGGGCUCAACCCGGGCCGGCCGUUGAAACUGGGGAUCUUGAGUGGGCGAGAAGUAUGCGGAAUGCGUGGUGUAGCGGUGAAAUGCAUAGAUAUCACGCAGAACUCCGAUCGCGAAGGCAGCCUACCGGCGCGCAACUGACGCUCAUGCACGAAAGCGUGGGUAUCGAACAGGAUUAGAUACCCGAGUAGUC
RNAcentral lists this ribosomal RNA (460 nucleotides) under uncultured bacterium. Its description in RNAcentral is "partial 16S ribosomal RNA". It matches the Rfam family "Bacterial small subunit ribosomal RNA", at positions 338 to 795 of the family's 1533-position model. The record is from RNAcentral.